Alosa sapidissima (American shad) is the source of this 126-nucleotide long non-coding RNA. RefSeq lists it as uncharacterized. Lineage: Eukaryota; Metazoa; Chordata; Actinopteri; Clupeiformes; Clupeidae. The record is from RefSeq and is a predicted model, not a curated record. The transcript is spliced from 3 exons.
AUGUUCUCACAAUCAGCCAGUGGCGUCAUGCCCAUUGAAAUAAAGGGGGCACGUGCCCCCUCGGAUUUUUCCUCCCUGAUAAUUUUUUUGAUCAUAACUUUGUUCCUAUUAUGCUCCAUAAUAAGC